Molecule: transfer RNA, 16 nt
Filed under: Daltonia sp. YL-2021
Lineage: Eukaryota; Viridiplantae; Streptophyta; Bryopsida; Hookeriales; Daltoniaceae
Description: partial tRNA-Ser
Source: RNAcentral
ACUUCGGAAAGAGAGG